Long non-coding RNA from Helianthus annuus (common sunflower), 660 nucleotides. RefSeq lists it as uncharacterized. The record is from RefSeq and is a predicted model, not a curated record. NCBI's taxonomy places the organism in Eukaryota, Viridiplantae, Streptophyta, Magnoliopsida, Asterales, Asteraceae. The transcript is spliced from 3 exons.
AUAUCAAUUUACAUCGUCUACUUGCGCCAGAAAUCUUUUCAACUUUUCGUUUCUGCCACUCAACUGUGUCUUCUUUGAUUUCCCCCUCAACACAUAUCAGUUGCUAUUUGGCUUCUUCAUACCACUUUUUACACAGGUUCUUGAGAGAUAAUCUAGACAGAGGAAGGGAGAGAGGUGGUAGGCACGGUGGACGACCGACGGAGGGCAGCGGCUUACAACGCAGAAGACGGUCUUCAUCGUUUUCCUCCGUCACUUGAAACCAGAUCCGCCGGCUGUGGCUUCUAGAAGACAUACUGCCGACAGCAUCGGCGAACUGAGAUAGCGAUCCUUUGUCUUUGAGAUCAAAACGAUAUGAGAGAGAGGGAAAGAGGGCAGGGGCGGAGACAAGGCGGCGAUUAGGGUUCCGGCGCAAGCUAUUACUUCCAUCAAUCGAUUAUCCGAUCUAUGGUUGCAUGUCCCUUCAAUGGAUAGAUUGACUACUUGCACAGUCGUCGGAAUGAUCUUCUCUCUCCUCCAGUGGUUCCUCCUCUCCAAAGUCUCCCUCUCACUUGAUAAACCAGAGUUUAUGGAGUAGUUGAUCGAGGAAGAAGAAGGUGUUAAUGAUCAUACCGUUAUUCAGAACACUGUCUCUAAAGCCUAUUUGGACAAUCCAUAAAAAAA